AUCUAGCUGACGAGUUCCAAGUAGGACGAAACGCGCGUCCUGGAU
Molecule: non-coding RNA, 45 nt
Filed under: Schistosoma mattheei
Lineage: Eukaryota; Metazoa; Platyhelminthes; Trematoda; Strigeidida; Schistosomatidae
Source: RNAcentral